GGUAAUUGUAAUAACAUCAUUCGUUUUUAUCAGAUAUGUAUAGGUAUGAGUGUGUAUGUGCUUCUGCAUUUGCUUUUUUGUCAUAAUACAGCUGUAACGAGGUGUGUGUGUGUGUGUGUGUGUGUGUGUGUGUGUGUGUGUGUGUGUGUGUGUGUAUGUGUGUAUGAUAGUACUCAAGUGUAUGUGUUUAUUUCUGCAGGGAGCUCUCAUGCAUGGCUUUAGCUGCAGGUGCAUUCAACAUCUGUAAGAUAACAUUCACUUCACUGCUGUCUACAUCACACACACACACAUACACACACACACACACACACACACACUACACCCCCCUCUCUCCGUCUUUCUCUCACCCGUCCAAUCAUCCACACCCUCUCUCUCUUUCCCAUCUCUCCAUUCUCCUGUCAUUUCAGAGCGUUCGGCUUUUGGGAAAACAUGAGUGCUGAAUGUUUGAGGCGAAGGGUGCCUGUAUUAAUGUCUCUCGCUCUCUCUCUCUCUCUCUGAGGAGAAGCAGACGGACAUAUGGAGCGUCACAAGCCACUGAGCCCAAGAGAAGUGGAGAAGAAAAAAUGGACAGAAAGAGAGAAAGGGCAAAUGUCUACCAAUCCUUCAAGAAAAUUAUAAGGCCAAACCAAAAUGCAGUGGGCCGGAAUCAAGGAUUUAACAUCUUGCCAUGGGCCGUAUGUGGCUCCUAUGUUGCAGGCCCAAUGUGGUACCCUUGUUCUAGAGGAUAAGACACAUGUGUGUGCGUGAGAGAAGUGUAAGAGAAAGAUUCAUCCAUAAAGCACUUCUGCAAUAAGAGUCUGUUGAAAUGGAACAGCUGUACGGUGUAACAGGAGAGCUGUGGAACGAAAGGAGAGGAGGUCCACAGACAUGCCAAGAUUUCAUUAACUGCCACAGCGGUCUGUAUUCAGUCAUGCUGGCGUUUUAAAUCCCUGCUUCAGUUUUCACCUCUAAAUGCAACAAGUUCAAUAAACUGCUCUCACACCUUAUUAACAUGACACAUGGGUGAUAGGAUGCAUUUAGUGGCUUAGACUUUAUAAACUGACAGAGUUGGUUUUCUAGGUAAUAAUCAUUAUCAACCAGUAAUAUCAUAUAUCUAACAUGCUGUUAUAAAAACAAAUCAAGUAUUAUUA
Molecule: long non-coding RNA, 1130 nt
Organism: Ctenopharyngodon idella (grass carp)
Lineage: Eukaryota; Metazoa; Chordata; Actinopteri; Cypriniformes; Xenocyprididae
Exons: 3
Source: RefSeq, a predicted model, not a curated record